CGCGAGUAAAAUGCGUUUGCGUGCCCCACGUUCGAUUUCACACAAAACGAUACAUAAAAUAUAGGACUUUCACAAAAUUACCAUUUCGCCACUAAUGACCCCUCCUUGAUCAACGCGCAAUAUCAUGAAAUCCAUCUAUCAGAUUUGUGAACGGAUCGCACCAGUGCGAUCAGCACAACAGAGACCUCAAACCCACGAUUUCGUUUCACCUGUUUUGGUCACAGAUUCGCGACGAAAUCCAUCCUCUCUCCAAUAGGCAAAACCCACACACAAAUACGUAAAAUAUAUGUAUCUCCAGUUUUCUCAAAAUUCGUGCGUCAAACCUGAAAUCCGUCAGCAUCAAUGGGUCCAGGAUAGUCGAACCAUUGAAAACGAGCUAUUGGAUUACUAUGAACGAAGUCCGAUACGCGCCUGAAGCCAUCUCUACUCAUUGGCCUCUCCGAAAAACUGGGUACUAUUCACUUUAAAUGAAUCUUAUUUC
Molecule: long non-coding RNA, 481 nt
Filed under: Ananas comosus (pineapple)
Lineage: Eukaryota; Viridiplantae; Streptophyta; Magnoliopsida; Poales; Bromeliaceae
Description: long non-coding RNA (ACOM_LNC024422)
Source: RNAcentral